GACGAACGCUGGCGGCGUGCUUAACACAUGCAAGUCGAGCGGUAAGGCCUUUCGGGGUACCCGAGCGGCGAACGGGUGAGUAACACGUGGGUGAUCUGCCCUGCACUUCGGGAUAAGCCUGGGAAACUGGGUCUAAUACCGGCUAUGACCUCCUAUCGCAUGGUGGGUGGUGGAAAGAUUUAUCGGUGCAGGAUGGGCCCGCGGCCUAUCAGCUUGUUGGUGGGGUAAUGGCCUACCAAGGCGACGACGGGUAGCCGACCUGAGAGGGUGACCGGCCACACUGGGACGGAGACGCGGCCCAGACUCCUACGGGAGGCAGCAGUGGGGAAUAGUGCACAAUGGGCGAGAGCCUGAUGCAGCGACGCCGCGUGAGGGAUGACGGCCUUCGGGUUGUAAACCUCUUUCAGCAGAGACGAAGCGCAAGUGACGGUACCUGCAGAAGAAGCACCGGCUAACUACGUG
Molecule: ribosomal RNA, 462 nt
Filed under: uncultured bacterium
Lineage: Bacteria
Description: partial 16S ribosomal RNA
Rfam family: Bacterial small subunit ribosomal RNA
Source: RNAcentral